GAUGAACGCUGGCGGCGUGCCUAAUACAUGCAAGUCGAGCGAACGGACGAGAAGCUUGCUUCUCUGAUGUUAGCGGCGGACGGGUGAGUAACACGUGGAUAACCUACCUAUAAGACUGGGAUAACUUCGGGAAACCGGAGCUAAUACCGGAUAAUAUUUUGAACCGCAUGGUUCAAAAGUGAAAGACGGUCUUGCUGUCACUUAUAGAUGGAUCCGCGCUGCAUUAGCUAGUUGGUAAGGUAACGGCUUACCAAGGCAACGAUGCAUAGCCGACCUGAGAGGGUGAUCGGCCACACUGGAACUGAGACACGGUCCAGACUCCUACGGGAGGCAGCAGUAGGGAAUCUUCCGCAAUGGGCGAAAGCCUGACGGAGCAACGCCGCGUGAGUGAUGAAGGUCUUCGGAUCGUAAAACUCUGUUAUUAGGGAAGAACAUAUGUGUAAGUAACUGUGCACAUCUUGACGGUACCUAAUCAGAAAGCCACGGCUAACUACGUGCCAGCAGCCGCGGUAAUACGUAGGUGGCAAGCGUUAUCCGGAAUUAUUGGGCGUAAAGCGCGCGUAGGCGGUUUUUUAAGUCUGAUGUGAAAGCCCACGGCUCAACCGUGGAGGGUCAUUGGAAACUGGAAAACUUGAGUGCAGAAGAGGAAGGUGGAAUUCCAUGUGUAGCGGUGAAAUGCGCAGAGAUAUGGAGGAACACCAGUGGCGAAGGCGACUUUCUGGUCUGUAACUGACGCUGAUGUGCGAAAGCGUGGGGAUCAAACAGGAUUAGAUACCCUGGUAGUCCACGCCGUAAACGAUGAGUGCUAAGUGUUAGGGGGUUUCCGCCCCUUAGUGCUGCAGCUAACGCAUUAAGCACUCCGCCUGGGGAGUACGACCGCAAGGUUGAAACUCAAAGGAAUUGACGGGGACCCGCACAAGCGGUGGAGCAUGUGGUUUAAUUCGAAGCAACGCGAAGAACCUUACCAAAUCUUGACAUCCUUUGACAACUCUAGAGAUAGAGCUUUCCCCUUCGGGGGACAAAGUGACAGGUGGUGCAUGGUUGUCGUCAGCUCGUGUCGUGAGAUGUUGGGUUAAGUCCCGCAACGAGCGCAACCCUUAAGCUUAGUUGCCAUCAUUAAGUUGGGCACUCUAAGUUGACUGCCGGUGACAAACCGGAGGAAGGUGGGGAUGACGUCAAAUCAUCAUGCCCCUUAUGAUUUGGGCUACACACGUGCUACAAUGGACAAUACAAAGGGCAGCGAAACCGUGAGGUCAAGCAAAUCCCAUAAAGUUGUUCUCAGUUCGGAUUGUAGUCUGCAACUCGACUACAUGAAGCUGGAAUCGCUAGUAAUCGUAGAUCAGCAUGCUACGGUGAAUACGUUCCCGGGUCU
This 1372-nucleotide ribosomal RNA is filed under the name uncultured bacterium. RNAcentral describes it as "bacterial SSU rRNA". It matches the Rfam family "Bacterial small subunit ribosomal RNA", at positions 28 to 1381 of the family's 1533-position model. The record is from RNAcentral.